UCCUCUCGUUUUGAUCCAUUCGUGGCCCCUCGCGCAGGACCGACUUCCUAUAAAUACUGCGCUCCUCCUCAUCCGAUUCUCCAAAAAACCUCGAACUCCUGUGCCCUAGAGCUCCAUCCCGAUCUCGCCGAAGUUCGCCGUUGCAAGGGCACCUUCGCCGGUCGAUUUCGUCGCCUCUGCUUCUCUUUUGAUUCCACUCUCUCAAACGCGCAGGUCCCUAACCCUUUUUCUCGCGUAGUUCCGCACGGGAACGACGACCCUGACGCUUCCCACAUCUCGCCGUUGCCCGCACUUCGUUCACUCGCCCUCAUCGCCAGAGGAGGCUCCCGACGCCGUAGACAACACCACCGACCUGGCCAGGGGGCGCUGCAUCUCGUUAGCUACUCCCCGGAGCUUGGAGACCACUGGAGCAAGCUCGACAACCACCUCCCGACACCCGCGUUUCCAUCUUCCCCGACUCCGACGCUGUUGACCGCCCACUGAUUAUUACAGUGAUGAGUGAGUUUCUUUGUUGGUUUACGGUCUACACUCAACCUGCCGGUGGCGUUGAUGGGACUCCACACCCGAUUGAUUGUUUCCGCUGAAACUUAUAAGCAUAGUGAUCCAGGGAUGGCACGGAUACAAAGAGGCUUGUCCAUCUGAGGUCGGGUCGCUACAACACUUGCAGACAUUUUCUUCCUGAAAACAACUUGUCAUCUCCUUCUGCACCUCAUUGGGUUCGACACUCUUACUUAUCGAAAAGAGCUACAAUUGAUCCCCUAUA
Long non-coding RNA from Triticum dicoccoides, 763 nucleotides. RefSeq lists it as uncharacterized. Lineage: Eukaryota; Viridiplantae; Streptophyta; Magnoliopsida; Poales; Poaceae. The record is from RefSeq and is a predicted model, not a curated record. The transcript is spliced from 4 exons.